GAGCCCAAGAUUGAAAGCUGGCGUCUUCGGCGUCCGCAUUGUAAUCUCAAGAAGUGUUUUCCGCUUCGGACCAAGCCUAAGUCCCCUGGAAAGGGGCAUCAUAGAGGGUGAUAAUCCCGUACAUGGCUUGGAGCGCCCGAGGCUUUGUGAUACGCUUUCUAAGAGUCGAGUUGUUUGGGAAUGCAGCUCAAAAUGGGUGGUAAAUGCCAUCUAAGGCUAAAUAUUGGGGAGAGACCGAUAGCGAACAAGUACAGUGAUGGAAAGAUGAAAAGAACUUUGAAAAGAGAGUUAAACAGUACGUGAAAUUGCCAAAAGGGAAGGGUAGGAGGUCAGAGAUGCGGCCUGGGAUUCAGCCUUGCUUUUGCUUGGUGUUUUUCCCAGAUUGCAGGCCAACGUCGGUUUUGGGCACUGGAGAAGGGUAGGAGCAACGUGGCACCCCUCGGGGUGUGUUAUAGCCUCCUACUGGAUACAGCGACCGAGACCGAGGACAGCAGCGUACUCGCAAGAGCGGGCCUUCGGGCACCUUUACGCUUAGGGCGUUGGCAUAAUGGCCGUCUACCACCCGUCUUGA
RNAcentral lists this ribosomal RNA (571 nucleotides) under uncultured Pseudozyma. Its description in RNAcentral is "LSU rRNA". It matches the Rfam family "Eukaryotic large subunit ribosomal RNA", at positions 104 to 657 of the family's 3401-position model. Lineage: Eukaryota; Fungi; Basidiomycota; Ustilaginomycetes; Ustilaginales; Ustilaginaceae. The record is from RNAcentral.